AUCCAACCAACGAGUCUCAAAUAGGACGAGACGAGCGUCCAGGAU
This is a non-coding RNA of Schistosoma curassoni, 45 nucleotides long. The record is from Rfam. NCBI's taxonomy places the organism in Eukaryota, Metazoa, Platyhelminthes, Trematoda, Strigeidida, Schistosomatidae.